AUGUGUUACGCGUACACGCCGAUUUCCGGACGCCUUCCGCUUUCAGCUGACGAGCGAUUGCGGCGUUUUGCCAGCC
Molecule: small RNA, 76 nt
Filed under: Xanthomonas campestris pv. nigromaculans
Lineage: Bacteria; Pseudomonadati; Pseudomonadota; Gammaproteobacteria; Lysobacterales; Lysobacteraceae
Also listed under: 3 other names
Description: sX9 sRNA
Rfam family: Xanthomonas sRNA sX9
Source: RNAcentral